CAGUAGCCGCGGUAAUACGAACCGAGCGAACGUUAUUCGGAAUCACUGGGCUUAAAGGGUGCGUAGGCGGACUGUCAAGUCUGGGGUGAAAUCCGGCAGCUUAACUGUCGAACUGCCUCAGAUACUGAUGGUCUCGAGGAAGGUAGGGGCAUGCGGAACUGUAGGUGGAGCGGUGAAAUGCGUUGAUAUCUACAGGAACUCCGGUGGCGAAAGCGGCGUGCUGGACCUUUUCUGACGCUGAGGCACGAAAGCUAGGGGAGCAAACGGGAUUAGAGACCCCUGUAGUCCCUGUCUCUUAUAC
RNAcentral lists this ribosomal RNA (301 nucleotides) under uncultured bacterium. RNAcentral describes it as "partial 16S ribosomal RNA". It matches the Rfam family "Bacterial small subunit ribosomal RNA", at positions 509 to 807 of the family's 1533-position model. The record is from RNAcentral.